Molecule: long non-coding RNA, 581 nt
Organism: Phodopus roborovskii (desert hamster)
Lineage: Eukaryota; Metazoa; Chordata; Mammalia; Rodentia; Cricetidae
Exons: 3
Source: RefSeq, a predicted model, not a curated record
ACAGUUGCAUCUACUGCCUGCAGGUCAAGAUGUAGAACUCUCAGCUCCUUCUUCAGUACCAUGUCUGCUUGCACGCCAUCAUCCUUCUUGCCAUGAAGAUAAUGGACUAAAACUCUGAAACUAUCUAUAAUGAAAAGGAGGAAGCUGAGCAAGGAAAAAUACAAAAUGUACAAUUUGAGAAAAAAGGAAGUGGAACAGAGAUAAACAGAUUAAGAAAUGGAAUAAAUGGAGUGUUAACACCAGACCCCAAAUGUUAGAGAUGCCAGAGCCAUCAAUGGGAUACCUGCCAAGGAGAGCUGCUAAUGGAGUGGAACCAGCUCAAGAGGAAGAAAUGUGUUGUAGUCAACAAAUCAGAAAGGAGUUGGAGACCUGAAGAGGGCCUUGAUAUCAGACAUGGAGGUGAAGAGUUUGGAGUUUGCCCAGCUGGCUUUGGUCUUGCUUUGGUCCAGUGUUUCCUCACUAUUUUCCUUUCCUCCAUUUUGGAGUGGUAAUGUAUAUCCUGUGCCAUUGUAUGUUGGAAGUAUGUGAUCUAUUUUUUGAUUUUGAUUUUAUAUGGAAUUACAAUUAAGAAAUUGAAUGAA